This 89-nucleotide small nucleolar RNA is filed under the name Hordeum vulgare. Its description in RNAcentral is "Small nucleolar RNA Z43". It matches the Rfam family "Small nucleolar RNA Z43". From Rfam's summary of the family: Z43 is a member of the C/D class of snoRNA which contain the C (UGAUGA) and D (CUGA) box motifs. Most of the members of the box C/D family function in directing site-specific 2'-O-methylation of substrate RNAs. The record is from RNAcentral. RNAcentral also lists the same sequence under 1 other name. Lineage: Eukaryota; Viridiplantae; Streptophyta; Magnoliopsida; Poales; Poaceae.
GCACGGUGAGAAAUGAUGUUUGAUCCCGUUCGUCGUAACUGGCAUCUUCUUUCCCUGCCGACCAUUCUGUUAUAUUACGACCUGAGUCC